CACGGCAUCCAGAACCUGCUGAAGCACUUCAUCCCGGACGUGGUCGAAGUCCGGCCGAUGUAAAUUACCGAAUUUUCCAAAAAGGCCUUGGGGCAAGCGCCGAACCGCUUGCCCCUUUGCUUUUUCAGCGGCACGUUGCCGCCAGCUUUGCCAUCUUACCGGUCCCUGAAUGAUCGUUCUCGCCAUCGAUACCGCGCUGGACUACUGCGCUGCUGCCGUGCUCGAUGCCGCCACGAA
Molecule: unclassified non-coding RNA, 237 nt
Filed under: Hevea brasiliensis (rubber tree)
Lineage: Eukaryota; Viridiplantae; Streptophyta; Magnoliopsida; Malpighiales; Euphorbiaceae
Source: RNAcentral